UUUCAAACUAGGUAGGUGACUUAGGGCUUGCGCAUUUCUCAUAACUGGCUGAAGUAUUGCGUCACCUGAGACCAGAUUGGAAUCUUUGCAAAUUUCCCGGAGAAGAAAAGUAUCGACGAUAUUUUUGGGCGCGUAUAUAUAUUAAAGAAGAUCAAUAUUUGCGCGGAUGAGCGCUAUUGCCAGAUGGCCUUUUGGUCGUCGGUUCAUCCUGU
Molecule: non-coding RNA, 212 nt
Organism: Paramuricea clavata
Lineage: Eukaryota; Metazoa; Cnidaria; Anthozoa; Malacalcyonacea; Plexauridae
Source: the annotation of a GenBank genome assembly